GUUAUAAUAGUUUAAAAAAAACCUAGGUUUUGUAAACCUAAAUUGCAUCUUCUUAUAACA
This 60-nucleotide transfer RNA is filed under the name Carios vespertilionis. RNAcentral's name for it is "tRNA-Thr". The record is from RNAcentral. Lineage: Eukaryota; Metazoa; Arthropoda; Arachnida; Ixodida; Argasidae.